GAGACUCUGUGCGCGUGCAUAUCAAUAAGCGGAGGAAAAGAAACUAACAAGGAUUCCCCUAGUAACGGCGAGUGAAGCGGGAAGAGCUCAAAUUUGAAAUCUUAAAGGGGUUUCCCUUUACGAAUUGUAGUUUAAAGAAGUGUUUUCUGUUGGAGUUUCGGUAAAAGUUCUUUGGAAUAGGACAUCAUAGAGGGUGAGAAUCCCGUAUUUGACCGUUACUUUCCAGCUGUGUGAUACACUUUCAAAGAGUCGGAUUGUUUGGGAAUGCAGUCCAAGAUGGGUGGUAAAUUUCAUCUAAAGCUAAAUAUAGGCGAGAGACCGAUAGCGAACAAGUACCGUGAGGGAAAGAUGAAAAGAACUUUGAAAAGAGAGUUAAACAGUACGUGAAAUUGUCAAAAGGGAGGCGUUUGACACCAGUGUUGUUUAGUUGAAAAUCAAUUCAAUAGUUUUUGAUUCUAAGUAGUAUUGACUUCAUCAGCUUGCUGCUUUCUUCUCAGGAAAUUAUUGAAUGCACUUUUCAGUUAACAAGUCAACAUCAAUUUCUUUUGUUGUAAAAGGGUAAGAGGAAGGUGGUUUAGCGCUUCGGCGUAAGUGUUUAUAGCCUUUUACCUCUGCAAUCGGAGAGAUUGAGGACAGCAGCGUAGACUCUUCGGGGUUAGAUACACUUGUGCUAAGCUAUAGCCUUGUAUAGACAACUUGUUGACUAUGCUCAGUCAUGUAGCUUACUCGCUUGUGCUACUUUACCUACGCUUAGGAUGUUGAAUCUGUGCGAGACUAC
Molecule: ribosomal RNA, 778 nt
Filed under: uncultured Neocallimastigales
Lineage: Eukaryota; Fungi; Neocallimastigomycota; Neocallimastigomycetes; Neocallimastigales
Description: partial large subunit ribosomal RNA
Rfam family: Eukaryotic large subunit ribosomal RNA
Source: RNAcentral